This 490-nucleotide ribosomal RNA is filed under the name uncultured Propionibacterium sp. Its description in RNAcentral is "bacterial SSU rRNA". It matches the Rfam family "Bacterial small subunit ribosomal RNA", at positions 1 to 507 of the family's 1533-position model. The record is from RNAcentral. Lineage: Bacteria; Bacillati; Actinomycetota; Actinomycetes; Propionibacteriales; Propionibacteriaceae.
UAGAGUUUCGGAUCCGUGCGUCAGGACGAACGCUGCGGCGUGCUUAACACAUGCAAGUCGAACGGAAAGGCCCUGCUUUUGUGGGGUGCGUCGAGUGGCGAACGGGUGAGUAACACGUGAGUAACCUGCCCUUGACUUUGGGAUAACUUCAGGAAACUGGGGCUAAUACCGGAUAGGAGCUCCUGCUGCAUGGUGGGGUUGGAAAGUUUCGGCGGUUGGGGAUGGACUCGCGGCUUAUCAGCUUGUUGUGGGGUAGUGGCUUACCAAGGCUUUGACGGGUAGCCGGCCUGAGAGGGUGACCGGCCACAUUGGGACUGAGAUACGGCCCAGACUCCUACGGGAGGCAGCAGUGGGGAAUAUUGCACAAUGGGCGGAAGCCCGAUGCAGCAACGCCGCGUGCGGGAUGACGGCCUUCGGGUUGUAAACCGCUUUCGCCUGUGACGAAGCGUGAGUGACGGUAAUGGGUAAAGAAGCACCGGCUAACUACGUG